AAGAGACAGCAGCAGCCGCGGUAAUACGAAGGGUGCAAGCGUUACUCGGAAUUACUGGGCGUAAAGCGUGCGUAGGUGGUGGUUUAAGUCCGUUGUGAAAGCCCUGGGCUCAACCUGGGAAUUGCAGUGGAUACUGGGUCACUAGAGUGUGGUAGAGGAUAGUGGAAUUUCCGGUGUAGCAGUGAAAUGCGUAGAGAUCGGAAGGAACAUCUGUGGCGAAGGCGACUAUCUGGGCCAACACUGACACUGAGGCACGAAAGCGUGGGGAGCAAACAGGAUUAGAUACCCGAGUAGUCCCUGUCUCUUAUAC
RNAcentral lists this ribosomal RNA (310 nucleotides) under uncultured bacterium. RNAcentral describes it as "partial 16S ribosomal RNA". It matches the Rfam family "Bacterial small subunit ribosomal RNA", at positions 503 to 807 of the family's 1533-position model. The record is from RNAcentral.